Transfer RNA from Toxocara canis (dog roundworm), 74 nucleotides. It matches the Rfam family "tRNA". Rfam says of the family: Transfer RNA (tRNA) molecules are approximately 80 nucleotides in length. Their secondary structure includes four short double-helical elements and three loops (D, anti-codon, and T loops). The record is from Rfam. Lineage: Eukaryota; Metazoa; Nematoda; Chromadorea; Rhabditida; Toxocaridae.
GCCUGAGUAGCGCAGUCGGUUAGCGCGUCAGUCUCAUAAUCUGAAGGUCGUGAGUUCGAACCUCACCUCGGGCA